Molecule: ribosomal RNA, 318 nt
Filed under: Salmonella enterica subsp. enterica
Lineage: Bacteria; Pseudomonadati; Pseudomonadota; Gammaproteobacteria; Enterobacterales; Enterobacteriaceae
Also listed under: 1 other name
Description: partial 23S ribosomal RNA
Rfam family: Bacterial large subunit ribosomal RNA
Source: RNAcentral
GUAGCGCCUCGUGAAUUCAUCUCCGGGGGUAGAGCACUGUUUCGGCUAGGGGGCCAUCCCGGCUUACCAACCCGAUGCAAACUGCGAAUACCGGAGAAUGUUAUCACGGGAGACACACGGCGGGUGCUAACGUCCGUCGUGAAGAGGGAAACAACCCAGACCGCCAGCUAAGGUCCCAAAGUCAUGGUUAAGUGGGAAACGAUGUGGGAAGGCCCAGACAGCCAGGAUGUUGGCUUAGAAGCAGCCAUCAUUUAAAGAAAGCGUAAUAGCUCACUGGUCGAGUCGGCCUGCGCGGAAGAUGUAACGGGGCUAAACCAU